UACGUAGGGUGCGAGCGUUGUCCGGAAUUAUUGGGCGUAAAGAGCUCGUAGGCGGUGUGUCACGUCGGCCGUGAAAACCUGCAGCUUAACUGUGGGCGUGCGGUCGAUACGGGCAUCACUGGAGUUCGGCAGGGGAGACUGGAAUUCCUGGUGUAGCGGUGAAAUGCGCAGAUAUCAGGAGGAACACCAGUGGCGAAGGCGGCACUCUGGGCCGGAACUGACGCUGAGGAGCGAAAGCGUGGGGAGCGAACAGG
RNAcentral lists this ribosomal RNA (254 nucleotides) under uncultured bacterium. RNAcentral describes it as "partial 16S ribosomal RNA". It matches the Rfam family "Bacterial small subunit ribosomal RNA", at positions 524 to 776 of the family's 1533-position model. The record is from RNAcentral.